This is a long non-coding RNA of Oncorhynchus keta (chum salmon), 533 nucleotides long. RefSeq lists it as uncharacterized. The transcript is spliced from 4 exons. The record is from RefSeq and is a predicted model, not a curated record. NCBI's taxonomy places the organism in Eukaryota, Metazoa, Chordata, Actinopteri, Salmoniformes, Salmonidae.
GUUAGAGAGGUUUAAUAACAUGCUGGUCCAUCAACAUAGUGUUAGAGAGGUUUAAUAACAUGCUGGUCCAUCAACAUAGUGUUAGAGAGGUUUAAUAACAUGCUGGUCCAUCAACAUAGUGUUAGAGAGGUUUAAUAACAUGCUGGUCCAUCAACAUAGUGGUAGAGAGGUUUAAUAACAUGCUGGUCCAUCAACAUAGUGUUAGAGAGGUUUAAUAACAUGCUGGUCCAUCAACAUAGUGUUAGAGAGGUUUAAUAACAUGCUGGUCCAUCAACAUAGUGGUAGAGAGGUUUAAUAACAUGCUGGUCCAACAACAUAGUGUUAGAGAGGUUUAAUAACAUGCUGGUCCAUCAACAUAGUGGUAGAGAGGUUUAAUAACAUGCUGGUCCAUCAACAUAGUGUUAGAGAGGUUUAAUAACAUGCUGGUCCAUCAACAUAGUGUUAGAGAGGUUUAAUAACAUGCUGGUCCAUCAACAUAGUGUUAGAGAGGUUUAAUAACAUGCUGGUCCAUCAACAUAGUGUUAGAGAGGUUU